This 253-nucleotide ribosomal RNA is filed under the name uncultured bacterium. RNAcentral describes it as "partial 16S ribosomal RNA". It matches the Rfam family "Bacterial small subunit ribosomal RNA", at positions 524 to 776 of the family's 1533-position model. The record is from RNAcentral.
UACGUAGGGAGCAAGCGUUAUCCGGAUUUAUUGGGCGUAAAGGGAACGCAGGCGGUCUUUUAAGUCUGAUGUGAAAGCCUUUGGCUUAACCGGAGUAGUGCAUUGGAAACUGGGAGACUUGAGUGCAGAAGAGGAGAGUGGAACUCCAUGUGUAGCGGUGAAAUGCGUAGAUAUAUGGAAGAACACCAGUGGCGAAAGCGGCUCUCUGGUCUGUAACUGACGCUGAGGUUCGAAAGCGUGGGUAGCAAACAGG